UGGGGAAUAUUGGGCAAUGGAGGGAACUCUGACCCAGCAACGCCGCGUGAAGGAAGAAGGUUUUCGGAUUGUAAACUUCUGUCGCGAGGGACGAAGAAUGACUGUACCUCGUAAGAAAGCCCCGGCUAACUACGUGCCAGCAGCCGCGGUAAUACGUAGGGGGCAAGCGUUGUCCGGAAUGACUGGGCGUAAAGGGAGUGUAGGCGGCACUAUAAGUUAGAUGUGAAAGCCCGCAGCUUAACUGCGGAACUGCAUCUAAAACUGUAGAGCUUGAGUGCAGGAGAGGUAAGUGGAAUUCCUAGUGUAGCGGUGGAAUGCGUAGAUAUUAGGAGGAACACCAGAGGCGAAGGCGACUUACUGGACUGUAACUGACGCUGAGGCUCGAAAGCGUGGGGAGCAAACAGG
Molecule: ribosomal RNA, 405 nt
Filed under: uncultured bacterium
Lineage: Bacteria
Description: bacterial SSU rRNA
Rfam family: Bacterial small subunit ribosomal RNA
Source: RNAcentral